CUCUGGUUUAUUUUCACAGGGAGCACUGUCUUUUUUCUCAAGAUCUGAUGUCUCACUUACUUGAUUAUCAUGACUACCAUCAUCACCUUCACAAGUAUCAGAUUUUAUAUCUUCAUUGACCAUCCCUUUAUCCUCAACAGGUUCCUCAGUUUCCCCCUCCUCUUUCUUAUCAUCAUCGUCGUCAUCAUCACUACUAGAAGAAUCAGAGUACGUGAACUUAAUUUUUUUAUUGAUAGGUUUACUGGGUGCCUCAGAAAGAUUUAUCGCUGAAUCCUUCCCAUGUAGAAGCUCUUCAAAGAACUGCAAAGGCAAACCAAAACAAUCCAACAGAUCAGAUUCCCAAGAAAAUUCCUAUUUAAAAAAACCUAGGAACAAGACAUUGAAGAGAAAAAUCAUAGUCCAUAUUCCAUGACAGCGAAUCUUGACCUUCACAGUAAUUUGAUUUAUUGAAGAUCUGAACAAUAAAGGACAAAAAAAAAGAAAAAGAUGAAGGUUUCCUAAUAAUUGCGCAAGAUUUCAAAGAAAUGUAAACAUAUGGCCAACCUAUAUGCUUUUGCAGGUCAUCACUGGGUCUCAUCAAGAACCAAUUUCAGCUUAAGCUACAAUUAUGUUGUCCGUAUCAUAGUCCAUGAGUACACAAGGAUGUCAUAAAUGAUCUUGAGCAAUAGCAUGAUGGGUAUGUGUUAGUAUCCAUUUGGAUGGCCUACUAUAGAUAACAGAACCAAUGUCGAGAUUGAAUUUCAUAAUAAACCAGAGAAAACUGUGUCUAUUGGACUCUGAUAAACAAGCGCAAGCCAAGAGAGAGAGAGAGAGAGAGAGGAAAGGAGAUACCG
Molecule: long non-coding RNA, 833 nt
Filed under: Fragaria vesca (wild strawberry)
Lineage: Eukaryota; Viridiplantae; Streptophyta; Magnoliopsida; Rosales; Rosaceae
Description: long non-coding RNA (FVES_LNC001051)
Source: RNAcentral